Molecule: transfer RNA, 72 nt
Filed under: Caudoviricetes sp.
Lineage: Duplodnaviria; Heunggongvirae; Uroviricota; Caudoviricetes
Description: tRNA-Arg
Rfam family: tRNA
About the family: Transfer RNA (tRNA) molecules are approximately 80 nucleotides in length. Their secondary structure includes four short double-helical elements and three loops (D, anti-codon, and T loops).
Source: RNAcentral
GACCACAUAGUAUAAAGGAUAGUGCAACGGUCUUCUAAACUGUUAGUGAGGGUUCGAUUCCCGCUGUGGUCG